This is a long non-coding RNA of Haliotis rubra (blacklip abalone), 440 nucleotides long. RefSeq lists it as uncharacterized. The record is from RefSeq and is a predicted model, not a curated record. The transcript is spliced from 4 exons. Lineage: Eukaryota; Metazoa; Mollusca; Gastropoda; Lepetellida; Haliotidae.
GCUUACAGUAUAGACGCACAGGCACGUACUUGUACAACAUUCCCCAUUCACGGAAAUUUCGAGGAUCAGGAGAAUAUCUGUGUUCCACGCGACGCUUUGAACACCGGCAAUUUCUUCUAUGGCUACAAUCGGGCGUCAGUGCAUACAUUGUCAUACGAGUACAACACCACCACCGUCGACGGAAGGCAACAGAGUGUGGUGACCACCGUCACGAAGGACGACUGCAUACCAGUAGUCAUCACAAGGAGCUCAACAGACAGCGCAGGAGGAAACUCUCUUUACGUUCUCGGGUACAACAACUUCUAUCCAGGCAUCCAGGACGCCAGUAUUUUGGACAUUCCAUCAUACUGUCGGUUCUGAUACCACCAUUCCUGAAAAGAAACACCAGGAUCCGUCGUACCCCAAUCUCUGUGAAUAUGUUUCCUCUGAACAACUUCGUG